This 255-nucleotide ribosomal RNA is filed under the name uncultured bacterium. RNAcentral's name for it is "partial 16S ribosomal RNA". It matches the Rfam family "Bacterial small subunit ribosomal RNA", at positions 524 to 776 of the family's 1533-position model. The record is from RNAcentral.
UACGUAGGGUGCAAGCGUUGUCCGGAAUUAUUGGGCGUAAAGAGCUCGUAGGCGGUUUGUCGCGUCUGCUGUGAAAACGCGAGGCUCAACCUCGCGCCUGCAGUGGGUACGGGCAGACUAGAGUGCGGUAGGGGAGAUUGGAAUUCCUGGUGUAGCGGUGGAAUGCGCAGAUAUCAGGAGGAACACCGAGUGGCGAAGGCAGAUCUCUGGGCCGUAACUGACGCUGAGGAGCGAAAGCCGUGGGGAGCGAACAGG